UUCCGGUUGAUCCUGCCAGAUCCGACUGCUAUCCGGGUAAGACUAAGCCAUGCAAGUCGAAUGGAAUCGCUGAUUCCAUGGCGAACUGCUCAGUAACAAGUGAUCAACUUACCCUUCAGUGGGGGAUAACCUCGGGAAACUGAGGCUAAUCCGCCAUAGUUGGCACACCCUGGAAUGGGGUGCCCUCGAAAGAUAUUUCGAAAUGCCGAAUGUUCGCUGAAGGAUAGGAUCGCUUUCGAUUACGGUUGUUGGUGAGGUAAUGGCUCACCAAGCCUCUGAUCGAUAAGGGCCGUGAGAGCGGUAGCCCUGAGAUGGAUACUGAGACAAUGAUCCAGGCCUUACGAGGCGCAGCAGGCGCGAAACCUUUACAAUGCACAACAGUGUGAUAAGGUUACCCGGAGUGCUAAGAGAAAACUUUUAGCUGUUAUAGGUGUGUAAAUAACCUUAUGAGAAAGGAGAGGGCAAGGCUGGUGCCAGCCGCCGCGGUAAAACCAGCUCUUCAAGUGGUCGGGAAUAUUAUUGGGCUUAAAGUGUCCGUAGCCGGUUAGAACAGUUCCUGGUAAAAUCUGGCAGCUUAACUGUCAGGUCGCUAGGAAUACUAUCUUACUAGAGGGUGGGAAAGGUUUGGGGUACUCCAGGGGUAGCGGUGAAAUGCGAUAUUCCGUGGGGGACCACCAGUGGCGAAGGCGCCAGACUGGAACACGCCUGACGGUGAGGGACGAAAGCCAGGGGAGCGAACGGGAUUAGAUACCCCGGUAGUCCUGGCUGUAAACGAUGCGUGCUAGGUGUUGGUAGGGCUAUGAGCUGUAUCAGUGCCGUAGGGAAACUGUUUAGCGCGCCACCUGGGAAGUACGGUCGCAAGGCUGAAACUUAAAGGAAUUGGCGGGGGAGCACUACAACGGGUGGAGCCUGCGGUUUAAUUGGAUUCAACGCCGGAAAACUCACCGGGUGCGACAGCAACAUGUAGGUCAGGCUGAAGGUCUUACCUGAAUCGCUGAGAGGAGGUGCAUGGCCGUCGUCAGUUCGUACUGUGAAGCAUCCUGUUAAGUCAGGCAACGAGCGAGACCCGCGCCCACAGUUGCCAGCAUGUUCUCAGGAACGAUGGGUACACUGUGGGGACCGCCGCUGCUAAAGCGGAGGAAGGAACGGGCUACGGUAGGUCAGUAUGCCCCGAAUCUCCCGGGCUACACGCGGGCUACAAUGGUUGGGACAAUGGGCACCUACCCUGAAAAGGGAUGGUAAUCUCCGAAACCCAACCGUAGUUCGGAUUGAGGGCUGUAACUCGCCCUCAUGAAGCUGGAAUCCGUAGUAAUCGCGUUUCAACAUAGCGCGGUGAAUACGUCCCUGCUCCUUGCACACACCGCCCGU
RNAcentral lists this ribosomal RNA (1368 nucleotides) under uncultured archaeon. RNAcentral describes it as "partial 16S ribosomal RNA". It matches the Rfam family "Archaeal small subunit ribosomal RNA". The record is from RNAcentral.